Molecule: small RNA, 882 nt
Filed under: Pongo abelii (Sumatran orangutan)
Lineage: Eukaryota; Metazoa; Chordata; Mammalia; Primates; Hominidae
Description: processed transcript
Source: RNAcentral
CAGGCUGGAAUUGAGUGAUGGAGACCUCCUGACCUUUGGCCCUGAAGGGCCCCCAGGAACCAGUCCCUCAGAGUUCUACUUCAUGUUCCAACAACCUCAGCAAGCUCCGGCCCCAGCCCCUCACCUUCUCCCCUAGUUGGGGUGGACCAAAGAGCCUGCCUGUUCCCACCCCACCUGGGGAAGUGGGGACCACGCCUUCUGCUCCACCCCAACGCAAUCGGAGGAAAUCUGUUCACCGAGUGUUGGCAGAACUGGAUGAUGAGAGUGAGCCUCCUGAGAACCCACCACCGCUCCUUAUGGAGCCCAGGAAGAAACUCCGUGUAGACAAAGUCCCACUGACUCCCACUGGAAAUCGACGUGGCCGUCCUCGGAAGUACCCAGUGAGCGCUCCCAUGGCUCCCCCUGCAGUUGGGGGCGGGGAGCCCUGUGCAGCUCCUUGUUGCUGCCUGCCCCAGGAAGAGACAGUGGCCUGGGUUCAGUGUGAUGGCUGUGACGUCUGGUUCCAUGUGGCCUGUGUUGGCUGCAGCAUCCAGGCUGCCAGGGAGGCCGACUUCCGAUGCCCAGGGUGCCGGGCUGGCAUCCAGAGCUAAGGUCCACCACCAAGGCACCAUCGGACACACCUGCCCAUGAGUAGACACAGCAGCGAGCAAAUGGGUCUGAUAAAUACCCCCCUUCCCUUCCCUCCCCAGGAGGGAAUGACUACAGGGAAGAAGGGUGGAUUGAUGUGGACUCAUUCAGGGCCUGGAGCAGACCCUGGUGGCCGGGUGACAGACGAGAUGGUUUCCUGCCAAAGAUAUUGCCACCUCCAGGAAAUUGCCAGUGAGCUGGAAGUUCCCACUGUUACAAGCUAUAAGGCCAUGUUGCCAUGGACACCAGAAUGUC